UCCUACGGGAGGCAGCAGUGGGGAAUUUUCCGCAAUGGGCGCAAGCCUGACGGAGCAAGACCGCGUGGGGGAGGAAGGCUCUUGGGUUGUAAACCCCUUUUCUCAAGGAAGAAGUUCUGACGGUACUUGAGGAAUCAGCCUCGGCUAACUCCGUGCCAGCAGCCGCGGUAAUACGGAGGAGGCAAGCGUUAUCCGGAAUGAUUGGGCGUAAAGCGUCCGCAGGUGGCCGUUCAAGUCUGCUGUCAAAUCCAGGGGCUCAACUCCUGACCGGCAGUGGAAACUGAGCAGCUAGAGUGCGGUAGGGGCAGAGGGAAUUCCCGGUGUAGCGGUGAAAUGCGUAGAGAUCGGGAAGAACACCGGUGGCGAAAGCGCUCUGCUGGGCCGCAACUGACACUCAGGGACGAAAGCUAGGGGAGCGAAUGGGAUUAGAUACCCCAGUAGUCCUAGCCGUAAACGAUGGAGACUAGGUGUUGCCUGUAUCGACCCGGGCAGUGCCGAAGCUAACGCGUUAAGUCUCCCGCCUGGGGAGUACGCACGCAAGUGUGAAACUCAAAUGAAUUGACGGA
This 566-nucleotide ribosomal RNA is filed under the name uncultured cyanobacterium. Its description in RNAcentral is "bacterial SSU rRNA". It matches the Rfam family "Bacterial small subunit ribosomal RNA", at positions 337 to 917 of the family's 1533-position model. The record is from RNAcentral. Lineage: Bacteria; Bacillati; Cyanobacteriota.